AACGGCUGAACCAGCAAUUUGGAAGAAUGAAGUUUGAUAUAUUAAUCUCUAGAUAUAUACGCAUCGACUACGUCGUGUAAAGUUCUAAAUAGAAGAUUGAUGAUGACAAAUUUCUAUUUAUGUGUCUCGACCAACUCUUGUGCCAGCAGUCGCGGCAACACAAGUGAGACUAGUGUUAUUCAUCUUGAUUAGGUAUAAAGGGUACCUAGACGGUAAUUUCAGCCUACAGCAGGGACAAAAUUACUAGAGUUUUAUAUGAGAGGAUUAUGUGAGUACCUUUGGUGUAAAGAUGAAAUUUUUUCAUACUACUGGGACUGAUAAGGGCGAAAGCAAUACUCUAUCUAGAAACUGACGUUAAGGGACGAAGGCUUGGGGCGCGAACAGGAUUAGAUACCCUAGUAGUCCAGGCAGAAAAUUAUGAAUGUUAUAGACUAAGUUGGAAUGAUUGGUGUAUAAAUGAAAGUGUAAGCAUUCCACCUCAAGAGUACUGUGGCAACGCUGGAACUGAAAUCAUUAGACCGUUUGUGAAACCAGUAGUGAAGUAUGUUAUUU
This 552-nucleotide ribosomal RNA is filed under the name Mycosphaerella angustifoliorum. RNAcentral's name for it is "SSU rRNA". It matches the Rfam family "Bacterial small subunit ribosomal RNA", at positions 378 to 947 of the family's 1533-position model. Lineage: Eukaryota; Fungi; Ascomycota; Dothideomycetes; Mycosphaerellales; Mycosphaerellaceae. The record is from RNAcentral.